Molecule: transfer-messenger RNA, 396 nt
Filed under: pig gut metagenome
Rfam family: transfer-messenger RNA
About the family: Bacterial tmRNA, also known as 10Sa RNA or SsrA, is named for its dual tRNA and mRNA-like properties. Its role is to liberate the mRNA from a stalled ribosome. To accomplish this part of the tmRNA is used as a reading frame that ends in a translation stop signal.
Source: RNAcentral
GGGAUAUUUGGUUUUGACAGCAGGUAGAAUCUGCAAGUAAGCAUGCAGAGCGCUGUAGGAGCAGCUCUUUAAUCACGAUCCUACGACUCUUAAUUGGCGAAAAUUCUUACGCUCUCGCUGCUUAAUCGAAGUAUAGUAGAUAAGCUUCAUUUCGGCACCAGGUGCUGAAACGAGACAUCGCUCCAUUGCCCGCUCUUCGAGGCGUUUGGGUUAUGCGGUGCAAGAAUAUCGGAGAUAGCUGACGAUGGCUGCGCAUCGGAAGCGAAAAUUUAGCAGAUAAGGCAUUGGUUGGUGGCUUGGGUCUUGCCGAUGCACGAAAAUGAAGGCCAAGAUAAGCAUGUAGAAAGCCUGUUGGUUCCUUGUUUGGACGGGGGUUCGACUCCCCCUAUCUCCACU